This 73-nucleotide transfer RNA is filed under the name Platysaurus capensis. RNAcentral's name for it is "tRNA-Asn". Lineage: Eukaryota; Metazoa; Chordata; Lepidosauria; Squamata; Cordylidae. The record is from RNAcentral.
CUAGACAGGCAGGCCUCUAUCCUACAAACAAUUAGUUAACAACUAAUCACCCAAUCCAGCGGGCUUCUAUCUA